CAGGACCCUUUGGAGUCAUCCAUUCAUGACAGGUGGACGUUAAGAUGAGGGCCCCAACUCAGACCACGAGAUGAGCAGAAGAAAGCAAGGCUCGACUCAGGUUAAUUAACUUGCUCACAUCACAUACCAGUGAGAGGAACUAAGAAAUGGAAUAUUACUCAUCAACUUAGAUCAAGGAUGUAGCGCAGUGGUGCCAGGCCUGCCUGAUAAGCUCAAGGUCCUGAGUUCAACCCCUGGUUCCACAAAGAAAGAAAGAAAAAAAGAAAGAAAGAAAGAAAGAAAGAAAGAAAGAAAGAAAGAAAGAAAGAAAGAAAGGAAAAAAAAAAGGAAAUUACUCAUCAACUUCAAAAGCCCUCGCCUGCAGCUUCUUGAAGAACGAAGCUUAGGGGAAACCCAGGAGAAGCACUGUGGCCUAGAAGAAUGGAUUCAGAAAGGAAGCAAGGGCCAAAUGUAAUGUUUUCCUAGGAAACUGGAAACGCAACUGAACCAAGAGAGUGAGCUAAAAGAACCUUAAAUUGUUCCCAACGGGCAACUAUGGUACAGGUAAGUGAAAAAUUGGACAGACAUUGAAGACAUCAUAUUUCUUUCAUGCUACCAAUUGAAGAAGCGGAAG
RNAcentral lists this long non-coding RNA (613 nucleotides) under Fukomys damarensis (Damara mole-rat). Its description in RNAcentral is "lncRNA (ENSFDAG00000030996.1)". Lineage: Eukaryota; Metazoa; Chordata; Mammalia; Rodentia; Bathyergidae. The record is from RNAcentral.